UGUGGCAACGAUGGUUAUUUUGUGGGUUUAGGUUUUGGGCUCGACUCUUUUAGGCCGGCGAAGAGGGACCGGCGCGGCGGCGCUAGUGAGGGAGGGGAGGCGGGGGAGGGGGAGGGUGGGCAGCCGCGGCGGCUGGUACCUCCUGCGGAUGCGGUUCAGGCGGCGCCUCCACGAGGUUCGCAAGCCGCACCUGGCCUGGUUCCCGGAGAGGCUGAGCGUCCACCUCGUCGUACGGAACGAAGUGCCGUUUUUGCACGACGGGGUUCUUCUUUCAUGGGGGAAGACCUUCAAUCAAAACUUUGUCAAACUACUAAAUGAGCAGUUUUAUAACUAUCGUCGACGACACCAUAGGAAGGAAAACCGAGCUAACUUACCACUUUGACCUAAUUGUCGUAAAAACCUUGGUAGACAGUAUAAAUACUAUAAUCGUCGUUUACGUCGUCAACCACACUAGUGUCUUUGUUUACGACUUUUUCGAGAGCUCCUCAACGCUCGUAUAGUUCGUCUACAACGUUGCCACGAAGCGUUACCAACGAAAAGAUAUGAAGGUCGUUGUCUUGAACAGGGACCUCUAUAACAUCUUCACCCUCAACCAACGUUUCAAGGUCGACUGUACUCUUACCAACUUUACGAUUCGGUAGUUAACGCACAACUGGUCCGUUAAGACUGUCCCCUUUCGACAAGUCACCGAUUUCUCGAACUAAGUUGAAGUCGUUACUUACGACAGAUGGUCCUGUUUUGUUUGUAAGAAAAGAGCCCAUGACAACAACAUCGACCAUCUCGUUCUCGACAGCAAUAACCACAACCAAGAUUAUGACGUUACCCUUCAUAUGCACUACGUUACGACUCUUGUCUCCUACUUCGCUGAGGUGACUUCUUUUUUGACCUGCUUAAACCGUGUAAAGACCGUUUCCAAUAUCGUCCCUAGACAUAAGAACAAACCCAACAUUUAUAACCGGUAAAGGCUCUAGGAAGAGUACCACCGAAAGAAUCCCCACGGUAAGUAAUAAAAUUCCAUCGUCAACGGGAACGACAACGUCGGUAAGGUCUUCCAGAGGGUCGACAUCAUUGUUGCACGAAUCGAGAACCAUGGUUCUCUUACCGAGCGAACUUACGGUAGCAUUCCAGAAACGGGAGACACCUCUGUAAUCCUACGUGUUGUCAGUAAACGACACUGUUUUGACCGUGAGAAUGCUGUUUGUACUACAGUCACAGAUUCCAUACACAACACGCCAGACACGUGGUCUCUGGUUAUUGACUACUCAUGAGAUAAUCACCUUGGUGUAAACGAGGACUACCCAAAUAUAUACUGCGGUCACUUUUAGUCGACCUCAAAGGAGGAGUCAGGGGUACAGAGGAAGUAUAUCGGUACACAAGUCGAGAAACGUUACUCAGGUGAAAUGUCAUGUUAGGACUAUUUUUUUCAAUACUCUUCUAACCUCUCAGGUGACUUCAACGAGACGCGCAAGACCACCUCUUCCAGCCAGAAGGACCGAAACUAAGCUACGGAAGUCGAGACUUGUACGAUUGAUUCGUACUCGCACGUAGCAUGACGUUAGUGAUAACCCUUUUAGUCAAGUCUUUCUAUAGUCAAGAUCUGAAAAGGGCUCUAGCGUUUUACUACUCGCAGGAAACGUCAGCUUUUGUUGUCCUCUAAUACAAAAGUUUUCCACGGGGACUUUCACAUUACCGUUCUACGUGUGUAUAUAACACGUUACUACUACCCAGAAGACAUGGUAACUGAUACCUGUAUGCAUUACUCGACCUUCGAUCUAAAGUUUCAAAACGUCCUUUUCUAUGGGAUUCCACGGAUCGUAAUCGUAAUUUUGCUUACGGUCUUCCGGUUGUUUCAGAAAGGAUACUACUACUCCGUUUAAAUUGUAAAUAACCUAACCAACCCUACGAACUGGGAGGUUCUCUACUUCAAGUGUCACGAUAGGUAAGAACAUACAGUCGUCCCUAAGCACAAUAACAACAAUGACCCCUAUUGUUCAGGUGACGUCUUAGAGAUACAGCCGUUUAACCACGCAAACUCGUAAAUCUACUGAAAUGUCCCAUAAGUAUAUGUCGUAGUCUUAAACUUCCCGAAGGAGGAAACCUUUCCCGUUUACGUAACGCUUCCUACCAAGACAAGAGGUCUCACCUUGGAAGAGUAUUCUUCUACGAACAACUUCGGAACGUUAGUGUAUUACUUCACCAACGUUACUGACCACUACCUCAGUUACUACGUGGACGGGACUUUUUUCGUCUAUAUCCUUAUCGAUACCCUAGUCCUUGACGACAACGCUUCUCACGAAGUCUAUACCAUAACCGACUACUGUUGAAACGAUGUUAACAACGUCGACAACGUCUCCCUUCCCGGUAUAUAUUAUUGUGGUUCGUCAAAUAAGCUAUGUACUAAAGUAGUUUAUAACCCCUCCAUCAAACAUAAAAACACCGUCGCCACGAACCCUACGGACUGUGUGAACAUGGACAGGUCGAUGAGACCCAUUUGGAACAAUGACUGCCCAACGGACGUUGACGUUAACCAAAAUUGUUCGGACUACCGUUAUAGUACCGUCAAUUCGGAGCAUUCCACUUGCUUCGACACCAGUCACCUACCGAGAAAAAGGCGAUAAAUCAGUAACCACGAAUACAACCAGAACGGUGAUAUCGCCCCAAGCAAACCACCAAACAAAUAAGACUUCUACCAGGAUCUGAUGGUAUGAGACUUAACUAGUUAAAACUAAGUACAAGUUGGUCCGUUUGAAGUAUAGGAACGUCGUAGAAACUCCUAGCGGUAGGUAGUUGACAAAGUUACUGACAAGAACAACAACAGCUCUACAAAUUACGGAACUUAUUGGAUUCACUUUUAGUUAGAGAUGAACAGUAAGUGGGUACCUCAUUGGAUACCGAACAACCCAGUUAGUAAGACUGUUACGAAGAAGUGCAUCGUCAGAACAUAUGCCUUGGGGACAGUCGAGAAAAGAGUCAUUAAAACUAGCUACUCCACAACUUUAAAAAGAGUUCUUCUGGAGUUCGAACCUCAAAAGGAAAUGCCAAUACCUCUGCGCUUUACGAAGGAUUUCUUCGGGCUCUAUUAAUUAAAAUCCUGAUUCGUUCGACACGAACUAUAUCGUACUUCGAGCAACGCCACUUUGAUUAAAACUGAUUAAGUAAACCUGAACCUUCCGACUGUUUGUAACAUCUUUCAAACAUAUGGAGGACGCCUAACACCGUUUGUCUAUAACUGUCCUUGAUACAUUAAAAUUACAUACUUUUUUUACUCAUCUCUCAUCAAAACCUGCACACAACAUUCUUUAUCGAUAUAUGUCUGUCUAACAAGCUUGAACGUUACCUGUGAAGGUUCUGUGGCUCAAGUGUUAA
RNAcentral lists this ribosomal RNA (3366 nucleotides) under Triticum aestivum (bread wheat). Its description in RNAcentral is "partial small subunit ribosomal RNA". Lineage: Eukaryota; Viridiplantae; Streptophyta; Magnoliopsida; Poales; Poaceae. The record is from RNAcentral.